GAAAUGCGAUAAGUAAUGUGAACUGCAGAAUUCAGUGAAUCAUCGAAUCUUUGAACGCACCUUGCGCUCCUUGGUAUUCCUUGGAGCAUGCCUGUUUGAGUAUCAUGAAAUCUUCAAAGUAAAUCUUUUGUUAACUCAAUUGGCUUCUACUUUGGUAUUGGAGGUCUUUGCAGCUUCACACCUGCUCCUCUUUGUUCAUUAGCUGGAUCUCAGUGUUAUGCUUGGUUCCACUCGGCGUGAUAAGUUAUCUAUCGCUGAGGACACUGUAAAAGGUGGCCAAGGUAAAUGCAGAUGAACCGCUUCUAAUAGUCCAUUGACUUGGACAAUACUUUUAUGAUCUGAUCUCAAAUCAGGUAGGGAUACCCGCUGAACUUAAGC
Molecule: unclassified non-coding RNA, 378 nt
Filed under: plant metagenome
Description: partial contains 5.8S ribosomal RNA, internal transcribed spacer 2, and large subunit ribosomal RNA
Rfam family: 5.8S ribosomal RNA (bases 1-105)
Source: RNAcentral